CACUAAAAGCCUAUUCACAAUUGAGCAUUUUCUGCCGCAUCAGAUGAGGUACAUGUGCUUGAAAGAACUGGGGAAAAUCGCUACAUUUCGCUGUUGCUGUUAGUGUGCUGUACAUGAGGUUUUGGAUAACUGUGAAUGGACCCGCGCAAGUUCCAGCAGUACGUAGUGCACCAAGUAGAAGUUGAAGCUCACAAAUGUCAAAAAAUGCAAUUAAGUAAACUCUGCUGACAUCGCAUCUAAGACUUAAAGUUUUACUUCCAUGCAUAGAUGGUUCGAUGGCCCGGAGUUCCUUCUUCAGGAUCAGUCACUAUGGCCCACCUGUAACGACCUGGGAGUGCCAACCAACAUCGAAGUAAAACAGGUGCUUAUCAUUGCUACUUCGCCACUGGAUCCUAUGGUGAACGCGGAAUACUUUUCCGACUGGCGAAGGAUCUAUCGAGCGAUGGCAACGUUUAUAAUAUACGUUGGAUAACUGAAAGCAACAGCCAGGAAGACGCUCCCGAUCCCGGCUAUUAACGCUGAGAUGAUAAGCCGCGCCCAAACAACACUGAUUCGCCACGCGCAAAUAUCAGAGUUCCGAAAACGACAAUCAGCUGCUACCAUCCGAGGGAAAGCUGAAAAUGUAUGCCCUCAACAGCAAAUAAUACUUCCAUUAAAUAACACGCCUCAUUGUCGACUGGUAUCAUCGUCAGAUGCCGCACACCUUACAUGCGAGGCAUGCGUCAAUAGGAUCCGUGGCAUUUAUUAUGUACCACGCUUACGGGUCUUAUAUAAGUGAGCCCGACGAGCAUACCAACGCUGCAGAAAUGAUAAUUCCUUGGUAGAGAAUGUUGCCGACGAAAGCUGUUAUAUUAUACAGAUCUAGAGAGCCCGCUUUACCUUAGAGGGUUAACGUUAAGAUCAGCAGAUGAAUGGCUGGAAUUGUACCGUUAAUCAUAAGCGUAAAGCACUUAUUGGGCGAGACUUGCAUCGCCCACGCUUAUUCAGUACAGCAUUAGCCACCGUCUGCUACAAUUAUUUUUAAAGCGGUUCCCUUAUUUUCAUAUCUAAAGGCUAUAUGUAGCGCCAUACAGCCAGCAAUAAUGUACGUAGUUAAUUAAUAAAGUUAUAUG
Molecule: long non-coding RNA, 1112 nt
Organism: Drosophila gunungcola (fruit fly)
Lineage: Eukaryota; Metazoa; Arthropoda; Insecta; Diptera; Drosophilidae
Exons: 3
Source: RefSeq, a predicted model, not a curated record